AGUGAACGCUGGCGGUAGGCCUAACACAUGCAAGUCGAACGGCAGCACAGUAAGAGCUUGCUCUUACGGGUGGCGAGUGGCGGACGGGUGAGGAAUACAUCGGAAUCUACUUUUUCGUGGGGGAUAACGUAGGGAAACUUACGCUAAUACCGCAUACGACCUACGGGUGAAAGCAGGGGAUCUUCGGACCUUGCGCGAUUGAAUGAGCCGAUGUCGGAUUAGCUAGUUGGCGGGGUAAAGGCCCACCAAGGCGACGAUCCGUAGCUGGUCUGAGAGGAUGAUCAGCCGCACUGGAACUGAGACACGGUCCAGACUCCUAUGGGAGGGAGCAGUGGGGAAUAUUGGACAAUGGGCGGAAGCCUGAUCCAGCCAUACCGCGUGGGUGAAGAAGGCCUUCGGGUUGUAAAGCCCUUUUGUUGGGAAAGAAAAGCAGCAGGUUAAUACCCCGCUGUUCUGACGGUACCCAAAGAAUAAGCACCGGCUAACUUCGUG
RNAcentral lists this ribosomal RNA (492 nucleotides) under uncultured bacterium. Its description in RNAcentral is "partial 16S ribosomal RNA". It matches the Rfam family "Bacterial small subunit ribosomal RNA", at positions 29 to 507 of the family's 1533-position model. The record is from RNAcentral.